CCUUUAGAUGUUCUGGGCCGCACGCGUGCUACACUGAGUGGAUCAGCGGGUCAGGUUGCGCGAAAGCGUUUCCUAAUCUUUAAAUCCGCUCGUGAUGGGGAUUGACGGUUGCAAUUAUCUGUCAUGAACGAGGAAUACCUUGUAAGCGCGGGUCAUCAUCCCGCGCUGAAUACGUCCCUGCCCUUUGUACACACCGCCCGUCGCUCCUACCGAUUGAGUGGUCCGGUGAGGCUUUGGGAUCUGAGCGGAAAGAGCGUUUCGCUGUUUCUGCUCGGAAAACUCAGUCGAACCUUAUCAUUUAGAGGAAGGAGAAGUCGUAACA
RNAcentral lists this ribosomal RNA (322 nucleotides) under uncultured eukaryote. Its description in RNAcentral is "partial 18S ribosomal RNA". It matches the Rfam family "Eukaryotic small subunit ribosomal RNA", at positions 1470 to 1796 of the family's 1831-position model. The record is from RNAcentral.